UAAGAAGGUGACGAGCGUUAUCCGGAAUUAUUGGGCGUAAAGCGCACGCAAGCGGUCUGUCAAGUCUGACGUGAAAUCUCUUGGCUUAACUGGGAGCGGUCGUUGGAAACUGAUAGGCUUGAGGCGAUGAGAGGGGUGCAGAAUUCCUGGUGUAGUGGUGGAAUGCGUAGAGAUCAGGAGGAAUACAUGUGGCGAAAGCGGAACCCUGGCGUAGUUCUGACGCUCAUGUGCGAAAGCGUGGGGAGCGAACGGG
RNAcentral lists this ribosomal RNA (253 nucleotides) under uncultured bacterium. Its description in RNAcentral is "partial 16S ribosomal RNA". It matches the Rfam family "Bacterial small subunit ribosomal RNA", at positions 524 to 776 of the family's 1533-position model. The record is from RNAcentral.